RNAcentral lists this ribosomal RNA (254 nucleotides) under uncultured bacterium. Its description in RNAcentral is "partial 16S ribosomal RNA". It matches the Rfam family "Bacterial small subunit ribosomal RNA", at positions 524 to 776 of the family's 1533-position model. The record is from RNAcentral.
UACGGGGGGAGCAAGCGUUGUUCGGAUUUACUGGGCGUAAAGGGCGCGUAGGCGGUCGUGACAAGUCACUUGUGAAAUCUCCGGGCUUAACUCGGAACGGUCAAGUGAUACUGUCGGACUAGAGUACAGAAGGGGCAACUGGAAUUCUCGGUGUAGCGGUGAAAUGCGUAGAUAUCGGGAGGAACACCAGCGGCGAAGGCGACCAUCUGGACGGAUACUGACGCUGAGACGCGAAAGCGUGGGGAGCAAACAGG